RNAcentral lists this ribosomal RNA (253 nucleotides) under uncultured Comamonadaceae bacterium. RNAcentral describes it as "partial 16S ribosomal RNA". It matches the Rfam family "Bacterial small subunit ribosomal RNA", at positions 524 to 776 of the family's 1533-position model. The record is from RNAcentral. Lineage: Bacteria; Pseudomonadati; Pseudomonadota; Betaproteobacteria; Burkholderiales; Comamonadaceae.
UACGAAGGGUGCAAGCGUUAAUCGGAAUUACUGGGCGUAAAGCGCGCGUAGGUGGUUCAGUAAGAUGGAAGUGAAAGCCCCGGGCUCAACCUGGGAACUGCUUCCAUAACUGCUGAGCUAGAGUACGGCAGAGGGGGGUGGAAUUCCGCGUGUAGCAGUGAAAUGCGUAGAUAUGCGGAGGAACACCGAUGGCGAAGGCAAUCCCCUGGGCCUGCACUGACGCUCAUGCACGAAAGCGUGGGGAGCAAACAGG